UGGGGAAUUUUCCGCAAUGGGCGAAAGCCUGACGGAGCAAUACCGCGUGAGGGAGGAAGGCUCUUGGGUUGUAAACCUCUUUUCUCAGGGAAGAACAAAAUGACGGUACCUGAGGAAUCAGCAUCGGCUAACUCCGUGCCAGCAGCCGCGGUAAUACGGAGGAUGCAAGCGUUAUCCGGAAUGAUUGGGCGUAAAGCGUCCGCAGGUGGCUUAUCAAGUCGAUUGUCAAAGGUCCUGGCUCAACUGGGAACAGGCAGUGGAAACUGAAAAGCUAGAGUGCGGUAGGGGUAGAGGGAAUUCCCGGUGUAGCGGUGAAAUGCGUAGAGAUCGGGAAGAACACCAGUGGCGAAAGCGCUCUACUAGGCCUGCACUGACACUCAUGGACGAAAGCUAGGGGAGCGAAUGGG
RNAcentral lists this ribosomal RNA (407 nucleotides) under uncultured bacterium. RNAcentral describes it as "bacterial SSU rRNA". It matches the Rfam family "Bacterial small subunit ribosomal RNA", at positions 355 to 776 of the family's 1533-position model. The record is from RNAcentral.